Long non-coding RNA from Oncorhynchus tshawytscha (Chinook salmon), 603 nucleotides. RefSeq lists it as uncharacterized. The record is from RefSeq and is a predicted model, not a curated record. The transcript has 3 exons. NCBI's taxonomy places the organism in Eukaryota, Metazoa, Chordata, Actinopteri, Salmoniformes, Salmonidae.
CAGGAGAGGAGAAGACCACUCCAGGGGAGAAGGAGAGGAGAAGACCACUCCAGGAGUGAAGGAGAGGACCACCCCCGGUUUGAACCCAACAACGCAUCCCCAGACAUCAUAACGUAGAAAUAUCCUGUCCAAUCAGCUGUCUCAGAAUAAAAGAGUUGUAUAAUAAAACAGACGCUGUUAAAUGAAAACAUUUUAAAACCAGGAGUUUAACACACCCACCGCCAACCACAGGUUUCAGAACAACUAACCGCAGGGCGAAGGAGUGGCCUGUGAUGCGUUUCCUGUCCUAUCUGUGUUGUGAUUGGUUGAUCAGGGUGAGAGGAGUUCUGAUUGGUGGAUCAGGUGUGACGUGUGCGUUUUAAAUCAACCCCAAUAGGGACCAGCAACAGAAUUCUGAUCUGUAGUCUGAAACAUUGGGAUUAGAAACCUACAGACUACAGAACCAGUCUGCUGUUUAAAGACUUUCAGCUGAGCAUCAGGUCAUGAGGAUAGUGUUGAUCUGGAUAUGUCUACUGGGCAUGAGUCUAGCCUUUCCAGUCCACAAGAGACGGGUGACAAGAUCAGACAACGAUGAAGGAGAGGGGGUAAGUGGCACGCACGCAC